CUAAGAGCAAAUGGUGGAUGCCUUGGCUAGUAGAGGCGAUGAAAGACGUGCCAGGCUGCGAUAAGUCUCGGGGAGCCGUCAAGGGGCUUUGAUCCGGGAAUUUCUGAAUGGGGCAACCCAGUAUAUAGUGAUAUAUACUACCGCAAUGCGGAGCGAACGUUGGGAAUUGAAACAUCUUAGUACCAACAGGAAAAGAAAUCAAACGAGAUUACGCUAGUAGCGGCGAGCGAAAGCGUAAGAGGGCAAACCACUAGCUUGCUAGUGGGGUUGUAGGACUGCAAUAUAGACUUAAACAAUCUAAUAGAAUAAGUUGGAAAGCUUAAGCAUAGAGGGUGAUACUCCCGUAUAUGAAAGUGCGUUUAUACUUAGCAGUAUCCUGAGUAGGGCGGGACACGUGUAAUCCUGUCUGAAGCUGGGUAGACCACUAUCCAACCCUAAAUACUACUACUAGACCGAUAGUGCACAAGUACCGUGAGGGAAAGGUGAAAAGAACUGAGGUGAUCAGAGUGAAAUAGAACCUGAAACCAUUUGCUUACAAUCAUUCAGAGCCCUAUGAUUUAUCAGGGUGAUGGACUGCCUUUUGCAUAAUGAGCCUGCGAGUUGUGGUGUCUGGCGAGGUUAAGGAAACCCGGAGCCGUAGCGAAAGCGAGUCUUAAUAGGGCGUAUAGUCAGAUGCUGCAGACCCGAAACGAUGUGAUCUAUCCAUGAGCAGGUUGAAACUGGUGUAAGAGCCAGUGGAGGACCGAACAGACGGCCGUUAAAAAGGCUCCUGAUGACUUGUGGAUAGGGGUGAAAGGCCAAUCAAACAUCGUGAUAGCUGGUUCUCUCCGAAAUAUAUUUAGGUAUAGCGUUGUGUAGUAACUUUGUGAGGUAGAGCACUGAAUGGGCUAGGGCAUACACCAAUGUACCAAACCCUAUCAAACUCCGAAUGCGCAAAGUGUAAUCACAGCAGUCAGGCGGCGAGUGAUAAAAUCCGUCGUCGAGAGGGGAACAACCCAGACUAACAGCUAAGGUCCCUAAAUCUCAUUUAAGUGGAAAACGAUGUGGAGUUACUGAAACAACCAGGAGGUUGGCUUAGAAGCAGCCAUCCUUUAAAGAAAGCGUAAUAGCUCACUGGUCUAGUGAUUCUGCGCGGAAAAUAUAACGGGGCUAAAAUGAGUACCGAAGCUUUAGACUUAGUUUUUAACUAAGUGGUAGGAGAGCGUUCUAUUCAGCGUUGAAGGUAUACCGGUAAGGAGUGCUGGAGCGGAUAGAAGUGAGCAUGCAGGCAUGAGUAGCGAUAAAAGGGGUGAGAAUCCCCUUCGCCGUAAACCCAAGGUUUCCUACGCGAUGCUCGUCAUCGUAGGGUUAGUCGGGUCCUAAGCAAAGUCCGAAAGGGGUAUGCGAUGGAAAAUUGGUUAAUAUUCCAAUACCAAUUAUUAUGUGCGAUGGAAGGACGCUUAAAGUUAAUGGAGCUAGCGGAUGGAAGUGCUAGUCUAAGGGCGUAGGUUGAGUUAUAGGCAAAUCCGUAACUCUCUAUCCGAGACCUCAAAGGCUCUUGACGCUCUUCGGAGUAGAUGGAGAAUCCAUGAUACUAUCGAGCCAAGAAAAGUUUCUAAGUUUAGUAAUAAUUGCCCGUACCGUAAACCGACACAGGUGGGUGGGAUGAGUAUUCUAAGGCGCGUGGAAGAACUCUCUUUAAGGAACUCUGCAAAAUAGCACCGUAUCUUCGGUAUAAGGUGUGCCUAACUUUGUAUUAAGAUUUACUCCCAAAGCAAAGAAGGUUACAACAAAGAGUCCCUCCCGACUGUUUACCAUAAACACAGCACUCUGCUAACUCGUAAGAGGAUGUAUAGGGUGUGACGCCUGCCCGGUGCUCGAAGGUUAAUUGAUGGGGUUAGCAUUAGCGAAGCUCUUGAUCGAAGCCCGAGUAAACGGCGGCCGUAACUAUAACGGUCCUAAGGUAGCGAAAUUCCUUGUCGGUUAAAUACCGACCUGCAUGAAUGGCGUAACGAGAUGGGAGCUGUCUCAAAGAGGGAUCCAGUGAAAUUGUAGUGGAGGUGAAAAUUCCUCCUACCCGCGGCAAGACGGAGAGACCCCGUGGACCUUUACUACAGCUUGACACUGCUAUUUGGAUAAAGAUGCGCAGGAUAGGUGGGAGGCUUUGAUCCAUAGACUCUGGUUUAUGGUGAGCCAUUGUUGAGAUACCACUCUUCUUUAUUUGGGUAGCUAACUAGCCUAAGUUAUCCUUAGGUAGGACAAUGUCUGGUGGGUAGUUUGACUGGGGCGGUCGCCUCCCAAANGUAGAGUAUAAAGGCAUAAGCCAGCUUAACUGCAAGACAUACACGUCAAGCAGAGACGAAAGUCGGUCUUAGUGAUCCGGUGGUUCUGUGUGGAAGGGCCAUCGCUCAAAGGAUAAAAGGUACCCCGGGGAUAACAGGCUGAUCUCCCCCAAGAGCUCACAUCGACGGGGAGGUUUGGCACCUCGAUGUCGGCUCAUCGCAUCCUGGGGCUGGAGCAGGUCCCAAGGGUAUGGCUGUUCGCCAUUUAAAGCGGUACGCGAGCUGGGUUCAGAACGUCGUGAGACAGUUCGGUCCCUAUCUGCCGUGGGCGUAAGAAGAUUGAGGAGAGUUGACCCUAGUACGAGAGGACCGGGUUGAACCAGCCACUGGUGUAUCAGUUGUUCUGCCAAGAGCAUCGCUGAGUAGCUAAGCUGGGAUGUGAUAAGAGCUGAAAGCAUCUAAGCUCGAAGCCAACUCCAAGAUGAAUCUUCUUUUAAGAGCUCUAGUAGACUACUAGUUUGAUAGGCUGGGUGUGUAANUUUAGCUGACCAGUACUAAUAGCUCGUUUGCUUAUCUUA
Molecule: ribosomal RNA, 2839 nt
Rfam family: Bacterial large subunit ribosomal RNA